Molecule: ribosomal RNA, 492 nt
Filed under: uncultured bacterium
Lineage: Bacteria
Description: partial 16S ribosomal RNA
Rfam family: Bacterial small subunit ribosomal RNA
Source: RNAcentral
AGUGAACGCUGGCGGUAGGCCUAACACAUGCAAGUCGAACGGCAGCACAGUAAGAGCUUGCUCUUACGGGUGGCGAGUGGCGGACGGGUGAGGAAUACAUCGGAAUCUACUUUUUCGUGGGGGAUAACGUAGGGAAACUUACGCUAAUACCGCAUACGACCUACGGGUGAAAGCAGGGGAUCUUCGGACCUUGCGCGAUUGAAUGAGCCGAUGCAGGAUUAGCUAGUUGGCGGGGUAAAGGCCCACUAAGGCGACGAUCCGUAGCUGGUCUGAGAGGAUGAUCAGCCACACUAGAACUGAGACACGGUCCAGACUCCUACGGGAGGCAGAAGUGGGGAAUAUUGGACAAUGGGCGCAAGCCUGAUCCAGCCAUACCGCGUGAGUGAAGAAGGCUUUCGGGUUGUAAAGCCCUUUUGUUGGGAAAGAAAAGCAGCAGGUUAAUACCCCGCUGUUCUGACGGUACCCUAAGAAUAAGCACCGGCUAACUUCGUG